CCUACGGGAGGCAGCAGUCGAGAAUUUUUCACAAUGGGGGCAACCCUGAUGGAGCGACGCCGCGUGGAGGAUGAAGGCUUUCGGGUUGUAAACUCCUGUCAUUUGGGAACAAGGUGCAUCGAUUAACUGUCGACGCAUUGAUAGUACCAGAAGAGGAAGAGACGGCUAACUCUGUGCCAGCAGCCGCGGUAAUACAGGGGUCUCAAGCGUUGUUCGGAUUCAUUGGGCGUAAAGGGUGCGUAGGUAGCGGGGUAAGUCAGGUGUGAAAUUUCGGAGCUUAACUCCGAAACUGCAUUUGAUACUGCCUUGCUUGAGGACUGGAGAGGAGAUUGGAAUUCACGGUGUAGCAGUGAAAUGCGUAGAUAUCGUGAGGAAGACCAGUGGCGAAGGCGGAUCUCUGGACAGUUCCUGACACUGAGGCACGAAGGCCAGGGGAGCAAACGGGAUUAGAUACCCCGGUAGUCCUGGCAGUAAACGGUGCACGUUUGGUGUGGGAGGAUUCGACCCCUUCUGCGCCGGAGCUAACGCGUUAAACGUGCCGCCUGGGGAGUACGGUCGCAAGAUUAAAACUCUAAGAAAUUGACGGGGGUCCGCACAAGCGGUGGAGUAUGUGGCUAAAUUCCGAUGCAACGCGAAGAACCUUACCUGGCCUUGACAUGCUCCUCUAAUUUGGU
Molecule: ribosomal RNA, 674 nt
Filed under: uncultured bacterium
Lineage: Bacteria
Description: bacterial SSU rRNA
Rfam family: Bacterial small subunit ribosomal RNA
Source: RNAcentral